RNAcentral lists this unclassified non-coding RNA (359 nucleotides) under uncultured fungus. RNAcentral's name for it is "partial contains small subunit ribosomal RNA, internal transcribed spacer 1, and 5.8S ribosomal RNA". The stretch from base 1 to 73 matches the Rfam family "Eukaryotic small subunit ribosomal RNA", at positions 1759 to 1831 of the family's 1831-position model. Lineage: Eukaryota; Fungi. The record is from RNAcentral.
GCAAACUUGGUCAUUUAGAGGAAGUAAAAGUCGUAACAAGGUUUCCGUAGGUGAACCUGCGGAAGGAUCAUUAUUGAAUAAAACUUGGUCCAGUUGUUGCUGGCUCUUCGGAGCAUGUGCACACUUGGUCCAUUUUUUAACACCUCCUGUGCAUCUUGUGUAGAUUUAGACAUCUAUCGAGGCAACUCGGUCAGAGAAUUGCUGUGUGAAAGCCAGCUUUUCUUGUGUUUAGAUCUACAAUUUUACACACUCCUUAUUAAAGUAUUAGAAUGUAAACAUUGGGCCGCUAGUGCCUUUAAAAAUGAAAUACAACUUUCAACAACGGAUCUCUUGGCUCUCGCAUCGAUGAAGAACGCAGC